GGUGGGGUUCCCGAGCGGCCAAAGGGAGCAGACUGUAAAUCUGCCGUCAUCGACUUCGAAGGUUCGAAUCCUUCCCCCCCUG
RNAcentral lists this transfer RNA (82 nucleotides) under Citrobacter portucalensis. Its description in RNAcentral is "tRNA-Tyr". It matches the Rfam family "tRNA". From Rfam's summary of the family: Transfer RNA (tRNA) molecules are approximately 80 nucleotides in length. Their secondary structure includes four short double-helical elements and three loops (D, anti-codon, and T loops). Lineage: Bacteria; Pseudomonadati; Pseudomonadota; Gammaproteobacteria; Enterobacterales; Enterobacteriaceae. The record is from RNAcentral.